UGGGUAGACAGACUGGCCCCAAAUGAAGUCCAGUCUUUAUGUUAAAAAGGUAAUAAUCAUCAUG
Molecule: small RNA, 64 nt
Filed under: unclassified sequences
Description: DUF2815 RNA
Rfam family: DUF2815 RNA
Source: Rfam by way of RNAcentral